Molecule: ribosomal RNA, 1347 nt
Filed under: metagenome
Description: bacterial LSU rRNA
Rfam family: Bacterial large subunit ribosomal RNA
Source: RNAcentral
AGACGGGAUGUGGACUGAAAAUAAGUAGGGAAGCACGUGAGCUGACUGUCAAGAAAAGCCGCUAUUGUUUGCAGGAUACCCGUACCGUAAACCGACACAGGUGGAUGAGGAGAGAAUCCUAAGGCCGACGGGAGAAGCAUUGUUAAGGAACUCGGCAAAAUGACUCCGUAACUUCGUGAGAAGGAGUGCCAGUAAGAUGGCCGCAGAGAAUUGGCCCAAGCAACUGUUUAGCAAAAACACAGGUCUAUGCAAAACCGAAAGGUGAGGUAUAUGGGCUGACGCCUGCCCGGUGCUGGAAGGUUAAGGGGAGAGGUUAGCGCAAGCGAAGCUUUGAACUUAAGCCCCAGUAAACGGCGGCCGUAACCAUAACGGUCCUAAGGUAGCGAAAUUCCUUGUCGGGUAAGUUCCGACCCGCACGAAAGGCGUAAUGAUUUGGGCACUGUCUCAACAAUGCACCCGGUGAAAUUGAAAUACCAGUGAAGAUGCUGGUUACCUGCGCCAGGACGGAAAGACCCCAUGGAGCUUUACUCCAGCUUGAUACUGGGAUUCGGUAUUGCAUGUACAGGAUAGGUGGGAGGCUAGGAAAUGGUAACGCCAGUUGCCAUGGAGCCAAUGUUGGGAUACCACCCUUGCAGUACUGGGUUUCUAACCAGCAGCCGUGAUCCGGCUGGGGGACAAUGACAGGUGGGGAGUUUGACUGGGGCGGUCGCCUCCGAAAGGGUAUCGGAGGCGCUCAAAGGUUCCCUCAGAAUGGUUGGAAACCAUUCGAAGAGUGCAAAGGCAGAAGGGAGCUUGACUGCGACACCGACGGGUGGAGCAGGUACGAAAGUAGGACUUAGUGAUCCGGUGGUAUAAAGUGGGAUUGCCAUCGCUCAACGGAUAAAAGCUACCCUGGGAUAACAGGCUUAUCACUCCCAAGAGUUCACAUCGACGGAGUGGUUUGGCACCUCGAUGUCGGCUCAUCGCAUCCUGGGGCUGAAGUAGGUCCCAAGGGUUGGGCUGUUCGCCCAUUAAAGCGGUACGCGAGCUGGGUUCAGAACGUCGUGAGACAGUUCGGUCCCUAUCCGGCGUGGGCGUAAGAUAUUUGAGAGGAGCUGUCCUUAGUACGAGAGGACCGGGAUGGACUGGCCGCUGGUGUAUCUGUUGUCUUACCAAAGGCAUAGCAGAGUAGCCAAGCCGGGAAGGGAUAAACGCUGAAGGCAUCUAAGCGUGAAGCCCCCCUCAAGAUGAGAUAUCUCAUAACGUCAAGUUAGUAAGACCCCUUGAAGACGACGAGGUAGAUAGGGCAGAGGUGGAAGUGUGGUAACACAUGGAGCUGACUGUUACUAAUAGGUCGAGGGCAUAAUC